AAAUUUUCAUUACUUUUUCUUAAAGUUUUAAAAUCAUUCUUACCUGAUUACAAAAUCCUACGCCAAAUCCUAGAAGUAGUCGACCAAUGAUUAACAUUCCUAUGUUAACAGCUAAUCCAUUUAGUAAUGCACCAAUUAAGAAAAAUAAGCCACCAAGAAACAUGGAAGUCUUGCGUCCCCACAUUCUUGUGAUUGUGGCAGCAAAAAAAGAAGCUACCAAUGCAGCAAGGUAUAGGGAAGAUGUGAAUAGUGUUAGAAGUUGAUCAUCAAAUUUGCAAUAUUGACNNNNNNNNNNNNNNNNNNNNNNNNNNNNNNNNNNNNNNNNNNNNNNNNNNNNNNNNNNNNNNNNNNNNNNNNNNNNNNNNNNNNNNNNNNNNNNNNNNNNNNNNNNNNNNNNNNNNNNNNNNNNNNNNNNNNNNNNNNNNGCAAUAUUGACUUGUUUCAUGUGUUUCAUCUUUCAUUCUUUUAUACACCGACGGAAAGAAUCUGAUCAAGAAUUCAUCCAUCGAAGUCACUCCUCCGGUAAUACCAAGAUCGUAACCGAAAAGAAGACCUCCCAUUGCAGCUACAAAACAUGUAAUCAACACAAAUGCAGUUACUUUUCCCUCAUAUUGCUUUAUUCCCCUAGUAUCAUCAACAAAGCUUCCACCUGCCAUAUUGAUUAAUUUUUUUUUCUUCAAUAAAUUACUACAAAUUAAGAAAUAAACACUACUACAACUUUGUUAAUUUCUGUUUCUCGUUUUUUCCUUUUUUGUCACUUAAUAAUGUAGUGAUGUAGUUUUCAACUUUAUAGGCAGAAGCAAAUGGAUGUUGAACGGUAAAGAAAAAGGUCAUAACAAAUAACUAAAAAUAGUUUAUGAUUGUCACUUAUCCACUAACUAGCUAUUUCUUUGUUAAUUUGAGCGAUGUGCAUUAAUGAAUGCAAUUUGGAUUUGCUACAAAUUAUUUUGUUCAUUCUUUCUCCUAAUUCUUCUCCUAUAACAUCAAUUGGUCAUUAAUUAUACGUAUUAGAUUAGAUUUUUGGUUCACUCUUUUAUAAUAUUUUUAUUAAAUAAAUUCAAUUUCUAUUAGAGUUUUUUUUUUGUUUAUUAGGAAUAAAUCGAGAGAAUUUGUUGUACCAAAAAAAAAUCAAGAGAAUUUGAAAAAUAGAGUAUAAUUAAUUGAUGUAUAUUAUUAGUCAAAAAAAAAAAUUGAUGUAUAUUAAGGUUCCUUGAAAUCCAAAGUUUGCUUUAUGAUAGUGAUAUAUUUAGAAAAACUAAAAAUAUAUUUAACCCAAAGUUUUAUGUCCCAUAAUCUUAUAAAAUUAUUGAUAUUUCAAUAUUUGAAACUCAACUACACUUUCUAAUAGGGAGUAGGAUUUGCUACAGUUAUAUUUUCACACAAUUAUACAGUACGCUGUUUUUAUUCUCGUAUGUUAAAUUUCAAUCAAACGGCUUAGAAUAUUAGAAACUGUGUUUUUCUAGUUAAAUUGAUCACGACCAUUAAAAUCAAAUUGGACGGUUCAAAUUCAAAACAGCGUGUUACUGCGUGCUGCGUAGCAAAUCCAAUUCGUUCUAAUUGACAUAAUAGUGAAUGCAUGCUCAUGUACGAGGAAAGAUGAACUAGUAAAUAAAGAACAUUGUCAUUGGAGAAAGAUGCUACAGGGAUUUUCUUUUGCCACCUUACCGGUUACUCGCGCGUUUUACGUAUUUCCCGUUUUGCCUUUUCUCUAUUUAAGUGGCGGAUGUUAUAAAGAUGAUAAUUUUUAGAAAAAUGUCGUCCGCUACUUAAGUAGCGGAUAUUAUAAAGGUUGGUUGUUUUUGGGGUGUCCACUAGACCACUACUUAAGUAACGGACGAAUGUGUUUUGGUAAAUUCGUAGGACACGCGAUAAAAUGGGCAGUGUGGUAAAAGUAAAUCUCGCAAAAUACAAAUAUUCUACUUUGUACAAGAUCUUGGUUUUAACUUUCAAUCCGUCGUUUCAAAAUGUAGAGAUCGAUUUGCUAGUUUGAACUUUCCACUUUCCACUAGGUUUGGUCUAGUAGUGAGGGGUUUGGGUAGUACGUUAUAGGUCCUGAGUUCGAUCCCCAGCUCAUAGUUUUAGGAGGCUCUGUGCAAAAUAUAAAAGUGGCCCUUUAAUAAAAAAAUAUAAUUUUUCUUAAAAAAAAAUUUGAUUUAAAUUGCAUAUAAUAUAAAAAAAAUCAUUUUUGUAAACAUAUAAAUUAUCAAUAUUAAAUCAAUUGCAUUGAAUUAAAUGGAACAAGAAAUACAAAAUAAUUAUCUUUGUAUAUAACGUCAAAAAGGAACAUCCUAAUCUAAGAUUAAAUUUUAUGCAAAGAUUAAAAUGGAGUAGAACUAUAUUUAGGAGUAUAGAUAACUAAUCUAUUGAUACUCAUAUGAUAUUUUAUGAACAUUAACAAUAUAUAACUAUUAUUUUAGGGCCUCAAAAUUAAUCUAUUAAUAUACAUCUGAUAUUUUAAUUGAUGUGUGUAAAAAUUUAGAAGAUUCCUUAUUUCUUGGUUUCAUAAAAAUUUGAUUUGUUAUUUAAAAAAAAAUUUGAUUUGUUGUUCUACCUAUUUUUUUUUGGUUUCAUAAAAAUUUGAUUGGUUGUUCUACCAAAAAAAUAUUUGAUUUGUUGUUAUUCAAUCUUCCCCAACAUGAGAAACACUUAGAUAGGCACAAGCCUAAAUGAAAAUAUUUGGGCACACACUCAUAGAUGAAAUGAAUUUAAAAGAAAAAUAAAUUAGACACAUCACUCAAUUAGUUUAUCUUUAAAUUUUUUUAGUUAUGUGAGUGUGCCUAAAUAUUCAUCAUUUUAGGCUUCUACCUAUCUAAGUAUUCCUCCUUCCCCAACAUGUAACCAAAAAAAAAAUCUUCCCCAACAUUAAUAGUCUUCUUGCGUUUUCAUUCCCCUUUGAUUUGUUCAACAUCCUUUCCUUCAAUUUUUUUAUUUUAUUUUGUCUAUAUUCCCAUUGUAUGGAUCGUAGAACAAUUUAUGCAAAAUUUAUAAAACCAAUCCCAACUGAAGAGAAAUCAGUGAAUAUAGGAUUCUAUGGGAAUAUUUUUGGAUGGGAUUGAAUUUAUAUGUGGAAUUUUUAUGUGACAAUUGAGGUUAUGAAUUGCCAGAUUUGUUAUUAAAUCAUAAUUCUACCUUGAUAUUUCAAUUCCCAAAUUUGAACCCUAAAAAAAUAUUAAAACAGGUUUGUGAUUGGUGAACGUAUUGUUAGAGAAUCAAUGGUAGAGACUGAAAAGGAAAAAACAAAUUGGGCAGCAAGCAAUGAUAACAAUUACUUAAACGAGAGAGAUGACGAGAAACAACGAUACUUGAAAGGAGAUUAUAAAAAAAAUGGAACUUGAAAGGAGAUGUUAAAAGAUUAAUAUUUUUUUUUGGUGAAUAUGUUAAAAGAAUAAUUAAUUGGUUAAGAUUUGGAAAAGUAAUGAUCACAUGGAUUUUAAAUAAAUAAAUAUGAAUAUUUAGAUCAAUAAAAAUAAAUGGACAAGAUUUGGUGUCAAAUUAAAAUUUGACACCUGGUGUCAACGGAUCCUAACUCUAUAAUAAUAUAUAAGUAAUAUUAUAGGUCCUCAAAAUUUUGAGUCGAGGCCCGAUACCGUCGCAUACCCCACACAUGUGUGUAAGACGCCUCUGAUCAUGAUCACCAACCAUUAGAGUUUGUUUUGAAUGUGUUGUGUUUAAUUUGUUGAGUUUAGUCAUUAUUAUCUCUUAUCUCAAAUGGUUCGUGAACGGGUCAUUAUAUUUUCAAUGAUUUGCCAUGAAAAAAAUCAUCUCGCGAUAUGCUUAAAUGAGAUGAUGCGAGUCUUUUUUAAUUUAAUCGAGGUUUUUGGUUCGUUCGUUGGCUUAGGUAUGCAGUAGCGUUAAAGCGUUUAGGAAAAGUUUGUCGCUCAUUUGAUUACGAAAAAAAAUAAUAAAUUGAGUGAUUGAGUGAAAAUCGGCUAUUAAUGAAAAGAUCAUGGGACAAAAAGUAAAAACAUUUAUCCCAAGAACUUUUGUUAAAAUAAAAUGAAGGAUGAGAUUUAGUUUUAACUAAAUUUUAACUAAAUGCACAUGUUAGAAAAACCCUUUAAUAAAAUUUUGUUUUGUCUUCACUGCCGGAACUACUAGAAAUUUGUUAUUUCCCCGGAAAAAAAAUCUGCAUGUAUUGCUAAGGAUUUUAUUGCGGAUUUUGUAAUAAGGAGUCAUUUCCCGUAGAUUUGAGGUUUUUAGAAAAAUUCGUGGGUAUUUCCAAGGAUUUUCUUGCGGAUUUUUGCACCCAGACCACUGAACUAUUUAAUCUGGUUCGAAGGUCAAGUAUCAAGUGGCAGUUCCAGCUUCUUCCCAGUCGCAGUUGUGGAGGAUCGAACCGUAGUCCUUCCUACCAAGUUCAGCAUCAAUCAUCACUGAACUAACCAACUAUUGAUAAAUUAACAGGAUAUAAUAAAUUUAACUUUGGACUUAGAUGUUGCUCGUCUCAAGGUCUCAAGUUCGAUUCCCCCUGAUGCCAAUUUCAGUGAGCUAAAUCCAUACAGGGCAAAAAAACUCUGGUUUAAAUGAGGCUCCUGCAAGUGGGCGGUGAGAUUGGUCCUCUUGAAUUAGUCGGUCCUAAGACCGGAUACCAAGCUUUCAAAAAAAACUUUGGACUUAGAUGUAGGGUCAAGUAUAAGAUGGAGUUUUCAGAUGGUUUCAAUUCAGAAUUACUUUUGAAGUAAAUAGUAAUAUUAAGAUUAAGAAGGAAAGAUGAUAUAGUUUUAUUUUGUGAAUAUUUAGUAUUAUAUGGAUAAUAUAUAUUUUUACUAACUCACAAAAUGUAAAAAUAUCGAAGUUAAAGUGCAAGUGUUUUGAAAAUUUAAAUAACAUGAAGAGUAGUAAUUUUCAACUUCAAAAUUGAUUAUUCAUUUAAUAUGGUAAAACAUAUUAUUGAACAUAGUGGAAUACAUCAGGACAUUGAGGAGACAACUUUACAAGUUCAACUUGUUUCUCCUUAUUUCAAAGAUUGGGAUUUGGGAAAUUUUUUUUUUGACAACAAGGGUUUGGGACAUAACUAUUUUUUCCUCUAAAAGUUUAGAAGAAAUAAUGUUUGAAUAGUAUCAAGUACAUCAAAAUUUCAUACUUAUUGCACAAUGUUGCAAUUUAUUUAUCCACCCAUUAACUUUCCUCAAUCUUUCCUUGUAGUCAUUGUUUCUGUUUUUCCUAUUUAUCAUAGUCAAUUCCUUAUCAAAUUCAUGGAACAGCCUUUUUACUGUCAUAAGCCUCACUAACAACAUGAUCUGGAACAUAUUUGGCCCAAAACCAAUGUGACUUCCACACUCUGUUCAUUUCUUCAAUUGGAACGUUCUUGGUUUCAGGUAAGAGACAGGCAAUGAAAAUGGUCAUGAUGGCCACAAAACCCGCGAAGAAAAAGAAGAGGCCGAACUUCAAGUGACAAAGCAUGGUUAGGAAAACUUGAGCAAUCAUAAAUGUGAAGAGCAUGUUCACCAUAACAUUUAUAGCUUGGCCUGCUGGUCGAACCUCAAGAGCGCAUAUUUCACUAGGCACCAACCAACCCAAUGGUCCCCAAGACCAUGCAAAUGCCGCAACAUAUGCACAAAUAAAGAACAAGAGGAGGUCCGCUUCACCUUUGGUAAAGGAUCCUUGGCCAGUCACUCCAAACUUGGACGCGAUCAUGAUUCCGAUAAUAACCUACAACGAUAGAUUAAUUAUUAAUUUGAGUCCUAAUGUAUUGAAAUUCAAAAGUAAUAGACGUGUCAAUUUUCACCUGACAAAUAAACAUUUGUGAGCCACCCUCAAGAAAUAAUAACCUUCUUCCAAACUUGUCUACUGUGAAGACAGAAACAAGUGUGGCAACAACAUUGACAACACCACUAAUAACCGCAGACAUGAGGGAAGCAUCAUCACCAAAACCUAAGAUCUUGAAAAGUACAGGAGCGUAGAACAUGAUAACGUUAAUGCCAGUAAGUUGUUGGAAGAAUGGAAUGAAAGCGACGAAGGUGAGUUGAGGCCUAUAUUCUGGUUGAGUAAUGUUCUUCCAUGGAUGCUCUACUUUACUAGCUUCCUCACUAGCAUCAACCAUAUCUUGGUAUUCAUCAUCAAUGUUUUCUGUGCCGCGAAUCCUCUUCAACAUUGUCUUUGCUCUUUCAUGGUCGCCUCGUUCAAUCAAGGAAUUGGGUGUUUCUUCUAAACAAAGAGAUCCUAUGCACAAAAGAAGUGCUGGCACAGCUCCAACACCCAAAGAGACUCUCCAUCCAUUUUUAUGCUUGGCAGUGGCAUAAUUGAUAAGAUUUGCCAUUAGAAUACCAAUUGUAAUCAUCAUUUGAAAACCAAUGUUGAGUGCUCCUCUAAUUUUUGCCGGAGCCAUUUCAGACAAAUACAACGGNNNNNNNNNNNNNNNNNNNNNNNNNNNNNNNNNNNNNNNNNNNNNNNNNNNNNNNNNNNNNNNNNNNNNNNNNNNNNNNNNNNNNNNNNNNNNNNNNNNNNNNNNNNNNNNNNNNNNNNNNNNNNNNNNNNNNNNNNNNNNNNNNNNNNNNNNNNNNNNNNNNNNNNNNNNNNNNUGCCAUUAGAAUACCAAUUGUAAUCAUCAUUUGAAAACCAAUGUUGAGGGCUCCUCUAAUUUUUGCCGGAGCCAUUUCAGACAAAUACAACGGUACCGACUAUAUAGACAAAACAUAAUAAUGACUAACGUUAAUCAAGUAUAACAAUAUUACACAAUCUACACUAUACUAAUAAGUUAGUAUAGCAUUAUAAAUUAUAAAAGAAUCAUUCUUAAAUUUUCAUCACUUUUUCUUAAAGUGUUAGAAUCGAUCUCACCUGAUUACAAAAUCCUACACCAAAACCUAGAAGUAGACGGCCAAUUAUCAGCAUCCAAAUGUUAACAGCUAAUCCAUUUAGUAAUGCACCAAUUAAGAAAAAUAAGCCACCAAGAAACAUGGAGGUCUUGCGUCCCCACAUUCUUGUGAUCGUGGCAGCAAAAAAAGAAGCUACCAAUGCUGCAAGGUAUAGGGAAGAUGUGAAUAGUGUUAGAAGUUGAUCAUCAAAUUUGCAAUAUUGACUUGUUUCAUGUGUUUCAUCUUUCAUUCUUUUAUACACNNNNNNAAGAAUUUGAUCAAAAAUUCAUCCAUCGAAGUCACUCCUCCGGUGAUACCAAGAUCGUAACCGAAAAGAAGACCUCCCAUUGCAGCUACAAAACAUGUAAUCAACACAAAUGCAGUUACUUUUCCCUCAUAUUGCUUUAUUCCUCUUGGAUCAACAAAGCUUCCACCUGCCAUAUUAAUUAAUUUUUUUUCUCCAAUAAACUACUACAAAUUAAGAAAUAAACACUACUACCACUUUGUUUAUUUUUUUCUCCUUGUUUCCUUUAUUGUCACUUAAUAAUGUAGUGAUG
Molecule: long non-coding RNA, 7351 nt
Filed under: Trifolium pratense (red clover)
Lineage: Eukaryota; Viridiplantae; Streptophyta; Magnoliopsida; Fabales; Fabaceae
Description: long non-coding RNA (TPRA_LNC000242)
Source: RNAcentral